Molecule: long non-coding RNA, 2544 nt
Organism: Carcharodon carcharias (great white shark)
Lineage: Eukaryota; Metazoa; Chordata; Chondrichthyes; Lamniformes; Lamnidae
Exons: 6
Source: RefSeq, a predicted model, not a curated record
CUGCAGUCAAUGUGAUGUUAAAGCGACGCCCUGUCUGCCUCUUCGCCUGGAUGUAAAAGAUCCGAACGUUUCAGGUCAUUUCGCUGAGCUGCUGCACUGCUUCCAACCUUCCAGAAGCUUUCUAAUUCCAGUGUUUUUUGAAAAGCCUGUAAGAAAACCACAAAACUGUUCGAAGGUUAGCAGCAGCAGCAACUGAGAGGGUUCUUGGUUGAAAAAUGAUCAGAUUGACUGUCACAGGAGGAUAUUGCUGAUGACCUCAUUUCGAAAGCAUUGAAAAGCAGCAAAAUGCAGCCACAAUGAGAUACAUGGAUCCUACAAUAUGUAUUAAUGCUUGGAUUACCCCAGCAAGUUGAUCUUCUAUAGCCCAGUAAAUGUAUCCUAAAUAACCAUGGUCUGCUGCAUAACUGGAGCACAGAAAGGCAUAAACACGCAGCAGGAUAAGGAGUGAGCCUAACUACAGCAGGAGCUGAAGAGGACAAAGAAGAAAUGGAGGUGAAACAAGGAAAAUCAGUGCAAUGGACCUUGAAAGGUGACAGCCGCUGCUCUCAACAUCAAAGCAUUAUUUAAGUCAGUAAGACACAAAAGGUCCCUUAUAAAACUGAGAUCACUGGGAGUCAAAGGGAGAAGCCACCAGUGACUAGAAUAGUAACUGACACUGUUUGUAGUUGUCCCAGCCAACGUCACAAUCCAGGGCCAUUACUACAGAUACUUUGCCCUUGGUUUCACACCAGUGAUUUUCUGAUGCCUGAUAAAAAUAUAACCCACACACAUGCAAAAGUUGAUUGUGUGUUUUUUAAAAAUUUAUGCUGAAGUCAGAGCCCUGACAUCAUGGGGUUUUGGAUCAUUGGACUGUAUUGUGUUCCCGUUUGCUAAAAUUUUGCAAAUAAUUCCAACAGUUAGGCUAGCAGGUAUUCUGGAACAAUGUGCAGCACUUUAAUCACCUUUAACCUUUAUAUUUCUAUGAAUUACAUUGAAAAAUCCUUUGGUGAUCUUGGUGUUUAUAACACUUUGUUUCUGUCUACCGAGGGGUUGUGGCAAUCCAGGAGAGAUUAUGAAGCAUCCGAUACUACUUUGGGAAAUAAAGUUACAUUUCAUUGUGAUGAAGGGUACAAACUGGUUGGUAGUGACUACCGGAUAUGCACAGCUGAUGGUUGGAGCGGUGUGGUCCCAACAUGUAAAAGGUCUCAGGAAAGCAACUUGAGUGUAUCACUCUCCUAUAGUUACAUCUGAACAGUGUGGAGUCCCGCAGUAUGGCAGUUGCAAAACGCUCACGCGGACAAGCAGACACUUUAAGUGCAACGCAGCAGUGCCAUGACAUCAAGGACAAGUGGCAUUAAGACAACAGCACAGAAAAAUCCCAGUUGCACAUCACAAUAAUACCGGAUUGAGUGACAGUCAGGAAGACUCAAGAGAAAGAGUUCUGAGCCAUAGGUCUUGAAAUGUGUAAAGCAUUUAGCUUUCAGUUGCUGCUGUCAUUCUUACUCUUGAAGACCUAAACAAUAUGAAAGCAGUUUCUCUGUAUCUCUGACUACCUAAAUAUAUAAACUGCAGUUUAACUGUUGGAACAUUCCAUUCCAUCAGCCAAUUUCUCAUGAUGCAAGAGAACAUGAUACUUCGGAAAAAAUAUAUUACUGAAAACUAAACAUUAUUUUCUCAUUGUAGUCCAUAAGAGGAAGGAGUCCAGCAAAUAGUGAGAUCAGUUAUGUGGAACAUCCAGGGACAAUGAUAAACCAAUUGUUGGGACUAAACUUUCACAAGCGAACCAUCAGUAUGGAAUCACGGGCAUUUCUCUCAGAUAACUCCAAUUUGCACUUAUGUAACAAUUUUUAUAGGCAAGAAAAUUUCUCAGAAUGAUUUCCAAUAAGGAGGAGGGGGUAACAGUAGACAGAGAUGACACAAGUGGUAAUGGAGCAAGUGUUGAGGAUUAAGCUGAACGCAGGGUUGAGCAAGAUGCUAUGGUUCUGCACUUGCAGAUUUUGCUUGACAACCAGAGAAUUACUUCAUCCUAAUGGCUGAAGGUGUGAGAGGGUGGAUAGGGGAGCUGUAGAUCAGGCAAACAAUCAGCUGUUGCAAUGUCACCUGAUCUCAUUGCAGGUGCAAUGGUGUUUUCCCACGGAAUAUGUGGGGUAAAAAGACAUGCAUUUAUAUUGCACCUUUCACAAUCUUGUGACGUCCCAAGUCACUCACAGCCAUUGAAGUACUUUUGAAGUACUGUUCUAAUGUAGGAAAGAAUGGCAGCCACAGAAAGCUCCCACAACAGCAACAUGAUAAUAACCAGAAAAUCUGUUUUUUCAAUAAUGUUAAUUGAGGGCUAAAUAUUGACCAGGACAGGAUGGAGAACUGGCCUGUUCUUCAAAAUAGUGCCAUGGAGGCUUAUGCGUGUUCAGUCAUUCAGAAAUGCUUAAUUAUUUUCCAGUUUCUAUUGCUGGCCAUGUCACCUCAAUUGUGGUGGAUAUUUAAGUUUCCACUGGAUUUAUAUUAUCCAAAUUUACAAAAAUGAUGCAGAGAAAUAUAAGAAUAAAAGCAGUUCUACACUCACCCAUA